CAGCCGCCACGGGAACACCAGCAGCCCAAGUGGUGGUCGCGCUUAUUGGGCCUAAAGCGCUCGUAGCCUGGCCGGUAAGUUCCCCGUGAAAUCGGGUCGCCCAACGAUUCGGCUUGCGGGGAAUACUGUCGGUCUUGGGGCCGGGAGACGCCGAGGGUACUCCGGGGGUAGCGGUGAAAUGCUGUAAUCCUCGGGGGACUACCAGUGGCGAAGGCGCUCGGCGAUAACGGGCCUGACGGUGAGGGGCGAAAGCUGGGGGCGCGAACGGGAUUAGAUACCCGUGUAGUCCCUGUCUCUUAUA
RNAcentral lists this ribosomal RNA (301 nucleotides) under uncultured bacterium. Its description in RNAcentral is "partial 16S ribosomal RNA". It matches the Rfam family "Archaeal small subunit ribosomal RNA", at positions 459 to 759 of the family's 1478-position model. The record is from RNAcentral.